This 496-nucleotide ribosomal RNA is filed under the name uncultured bacterium. RNAcentral describes it as "partial 16S ribosomal RNA". It matches the Rfam family "Bacterial small subunit ribosomal RNA", at positions 28 to 506 of the family's 1533-position model. The record is from RNAcentral.
GAUGAACGCUGGCGGCGUGCCUAAUACAUGCAAGUCGAGCGAACAGACGAGGAGCUUGCUCCUUCGACGUUAGCGGCGGACGGGUGAGUAACACGUAGGUAACCUACCUAUAAGACUGGGAUAACUUCGGGAAACCGGAGCUAAUACCGGAUAAUAUUUCGAACCGCAUGGUUCGAUAGUGAAAGAUGGCUUUGCUAUCACUUAUAGAUGGACCUGCGCCGUAUUAGCUAGUUGGUAAGGUAACGGCUUACCAAGGCAACGAUAUGUAGCCGACCUGAGAGGGUGAUCGGCCACACUGGAACUGAGACACGGUCCAGACUCCUACGGGAGGCAGCAGUAGGGAAUCUUCCGCAAUGGGCGAAAGCCUGACGGAGCAACGCCGCGUGAGUGAUGAAGGUCUUCGGAUCGUAAAACUCUGUUAUUAGGGAAGAACAAACGUGUAAGUAACUGUGCACGUCUUGACGGUACCUAAUCAGAAAGCCACGGCUAACUACGU